UCUCUCUCUCUCUCUCUCUCUCUCUCUCUCUCUCUCUCUCUCUCUCUUUCUUUCUUUCUUUUCCUCUCUCAAGUAUAUUAAUGUGGCCCCUCCAUCUACAUAUAUAGCGUCCUAACGUGACGCAUACACAAUAACGUGAUACGCUCAUGCUCGCUCAUUUCACGUUCACCACGACAUCUAAUUUCACACGCAAUCCACAUAUCUCUCCUGCCGUACUUAUGUAAUAGUCGCAUGACAUAUGACAGUUUGGUCCUAGUAAUAUAUGGGUGCGUACAGGUACAUAAGGAUACGAAAUUCGUCGUUUUCGUCGUAACACGCACAGAUUUUGAGCUCCUCAUACCCCUCUCACGGAUAAUCACCAUGGUGGUGUCAGAUGAUCGAUGCUGAAUAGCAGGAAAUAUAACUUACAAACCAUAGCUAACAGAAUGGCUCUUUUUGUGCAGCGUUUCCCAAUCGUUUCCGUUUUUGCCGAUUAAUUUAACGAGCCUUGACCUUUUACGUUUUCUAAGUAAAUUUUUUACCAUUUAUAAUUAUGAAGAUAUCGUAUUGUGUUCGUUCUGAAAAGGUGGAAAGGUGUAUGUAAUAUAAAGAAAAUCUUAUGAAUUCAUGAACUACCUUUGGAUAUAAUAUCUGCUUACUAUUUCUAAGCUAAACAUUUUCACUUUUUGUAAACAAUACGUAGAUUGGGAAAUGUUGAUUUGUUUAAUCAAGAUGCGACAAUAAUACGUAUAUAUUGCUUAAUAGCAAAACAAUAAAUUGUAUAAGUAUGACUACUUAUGAAAUUAUAAUGACGUGAUUCGGCAAUUUUGUUUCUUAGAUACAACAAAUGAUUUCAACUACUGUUCUGUCGUUGUAAAAUGUUUUAAUUCAUUUGUGCUCAAAAUGUCGAAAACAAUGCGUGAAUUUUAAGAAACUUUCAUGUUUUAAUUCAGUAUAUUAUUGCCAGAUAAAAGCGUGAAAAAUAUUUUUCUAACAAAAAAGACACUAAUUUUUUAAUACGCCUCUACUACAAAUAAUAGUUCCGAGCAAAGAUGAAUUAAAAUGAAUUUAAUAUUUCAUACAACGCUAUUUGUAUUACAGAUUCAAUAAAUACGUUAUUAUUGUCGUUGCUUGAUUCAAUCAUAUAUUCUGCGUUAUAUUUCCAUCUCAUUCAUGGGUGUUCAUUAAAUAUUAUUUUCUCUUUUAUAUUACUUCACCUACGAUCGUACUUAAUCGCAUCAGUAUCGUUUCAUCCGAUAACCGAUUAAUUUCCGACAUAUCAGAAUAUAUCUGCUAAAUCGAAUAGCAAUUCAAUUAACAUUUAAUCCUUUCGCAAUGCAAUAUGUUUUCCCUAUUUUCCAUUAGGCGGCCUGCAUUAAUUUAUCGUACAAUUAAUACGCGCUUCUGUUCAUAUGAAUAUCUUAGCGCGAAGUAUUUUUAUGAUGUAUAAAUAAUUUUGAGAGAAUUAUAUAUGACAUUUAGUUUGAAAUAAAAUUACACACGAUAAGGUACGCAAUUGAAAUUAAUUCAAUGAAUGCAAAGAGUUUGAGUAAAUAGGGAAAACAACGGAAGAAAUAAAAUAAAACAAAGUAGUUAACCGAAGAAAGAAUCGCUAUUGAAACUAUUGGAUGAUUCACGAAAUUGGAAUCCAAAGGAAAUGCAAUGGAAAGUAAUUGUCAUGCUGUUCGUAAUGCAUCACGAUCUAACGGAUGCACGAAGAAAUAAAGAAACAAAAUAAUGUAUGUAUAUCUCUAUCAUACAUACCGUCGCAAUAAUCGAUCGAUAUUUUAUAUUUUUUUCCUGUAAGACAAAAGUUUGUCCACUUUAGCUCUUUGCAAAUAUGCGCGUAUCGAUCGUAUUUUUGUAAAUCCUCUAGAAACCAAUUUCAUCUGAAGUUCACGCUGCCAUCAGAUAUUUGAACGUCUCAUAACGUAAAAUUGUUUUGCAACGAAUCGCGAUAAAAAGAAAAAAACAAACUAGAUCGCAGAGAGUUAAAAUGCUCGGACAACGUUUGUCGACGGUAGAAUACUUGACCAUUUGAGUGCAGAGGAUCGUGACCGCGUUCCUCGAUACUCGGACAAGAAAUACGAAAAGCACAGAAACGCUUCUCAUAUUUCUUCCGUUAUAAAACAACUAUUGGACAUGCAUAACAUCGUAUGUCCAGCAGUUGUGCCUUUACAUUGAGAAAAUCGUUCGUGAUUCACUGUUAUUUGAUCAGUAUCAGUUAAUAAACUUUUUAAAUAGUGUUAAAAAAUAAAGGCAACAUUUCUUUCUGUCUCGAAUCCUUCAUUUUACCCAAACUCCCAAAACACAUUCUAUUAUUUAAAAUCUACAAUUUAAAUGUAUAUAUAAAACUACUCUCUGCACUCAAAUGGUUCGAUCAAUGUUUAACGAGAUUUUAAUUGUCGUAUAAGAUCGUUUUGCGAUAACAAAUACAGGCGAGCUGAAACAAUCGGAAUGGAAUUAAAUUAAUUAUGUAAACUGUAAUGAAUUUAACUUGAAUCUCGAAUGCAUACUUUUUAGUAAACACUGUUGAUACAAUGAUAGUGUAAAUGGAUUAAAAAAUCUUGUAUGUGUGUUAGAAUUAUUCGUAGGCAAUUAGAAAACGUAAAGUUUCUUAGUCGUUCACAUUCAUGGCUUCCUUCUUUCGUAUUUCCGCUCAUUCUUCGUCACGCAAAGAUGAAAAAUUCAAGUAUUAGUCAUUUGUCCAAUUAGCUUAAUAUAUAAUGUCGAUAUUUUAAAAACAACAGUGUCGAUAGAAUCGACUUUCGAUCUGAUCAUAUAAAUGUUUAAUUAUUAUUCGAAAUUGUUUUAGAGGUUAGAAACUGCUCGAAACGUCUUCUGUAGUUCACAGUGGGAAGAUAUACGAAAAAUUGCGAUACAAUACAAUAUUAUGAAAGUUACUACUAAAUUUCCUACAGCGCGUGUUGUAACCAUUGGCAAGAUCGACCAGACGUCGUACCAUUUCACGGUCUGUCUGCGCGUUUGAAGUUGUUCGAAUAGCACCGUUCUUUUGAUAUGUAAGAAAAUAUAUCUGCGCGACCUAAUGCGGUCAAGAAAGAACAUGUUUGUCGCAUGUAGCCCGAAGAAUAUACCAUGUUUCUCGCUCAUGUUUCUUAUGUUUGGCCCGAAGAACAUGCCUCGAGUCUAACUCGUGUUUCUUAUGUUUGGCCAGAAAAACGUACCAUGACUCUAACUCGACGUUGUUGGUUAAGAGAUAAGUACAAUUAAAUAAAUAUUUUUAAAUGUUUCAAAUAUCUUCAAUAAGAAAUUUAGUUUCAUCAGAAUACAGAACUCUUAGAUACAAAUAAAUAAAACUAAGAUUUUUCUUGCCAUCUAUAACUUUUUCUAUAAUCACAAUUCAAAUUCACCUUAAUUUUGUUGCUGCUAAGUUUUAAUACCUGUAUUUGCACUGUAUUUUUAUGUGUCGAAUAGAGUGUUUAUAUUAAAAUAUAGUGCUAAAAAACAUAAAUUCCAGUAAAUUAAAACUAUUAAUAAGAGAAGAAAAUUAUAAAUAAUAAUACGUGCUAACU
This is a long non-coding RNA of Bombus impatiens (common eastern bumble bee), 3512 nucleotides long. RefSeq lists it as uncharacterized. The record is from RefSeq and is a predicted model, not a curated record. Lineage: Eukaryota; Metazoa; Arthropoda; Insecta; Hymenoptera; Apidae. The transcript has 3 exons.